AACCAGAGAAGCCAGGCUAUCACGGAA
Molecule: small RNA, 27 nt
Filed under: Bombyx mori (domestic silkworm)
Lineage: Eukaryota; Metazoa; Arthropoda; Insecta; Lepidoptera; Bombycidae
Description: ovarian small RNA-10285
Source: RNAcentral